This 389-nucleotide ribosomal RNA is filed under the name uncultured bacterium. Its description in RNAcentral is "bacterial SSU rRNA". It matches the Rfam family "Bacterial small subunit ribosomal RNA", at positions 28 to 417 of the family's 1533-position model. The record is from RNAcentral.
GACGAACGCUGGCGGCGUGCUUAACACAUGCAAGUCGAGCGGUAAGGCCCUUUCGGGGGUACACGAGCGGCGAACGGGUGAGUAACACGUGGGUGACCUGCCCUCCAGCUCUGGGAUAAGCCCGGGAAACUGGGUCUAAUACUGGAUAUGACUCCACGGUGCAUGCCGUGGGGUGGAAAGCCUUGUGCGGCUGAGGAUGGGCCCGCGGCCUAUCAGCUUGUUGGUGGGGUGAUGGCCUACCAAGGCGACGACGGGUAGCCGGCCUGAGAGGGCGACCGGCCACACUGGGACUGAGACACGGCCCAGACUCCUACGGGAGGCAGCAGUGGGGAAUCUUGCGCAAUGGGCGAAAGCCUGACGCAGCGACGCCGCGUGAGGGAUGACGGCCU